RNAcentral lists this long non-coding RNA (841 nucleotides) under Malus domestica (apple). Its description in RNAcentral is "long non-coding RNA (MDOM_LNC018658)". Lineage: Eukaryota; Viridiplantae; Streptophyta; Magnoliopsida; Rosales; Rosaceae. The record is from RNAcentral.
GUGUAGUUGUAAAAAAUCAUCAAAAUUGGAGUUAAAAUAACCAUUAAAUCGUGAUUUUUUGUUGAUAACCCUCGAAAAGUUUUGUCCCGUUACUUAAUCUCUAAAUAUUUGUUUUUUGCGAUUUUUGGCUUAUGCGAUCUUGAAGCAUAUACAAACAAGUUUGAUAGUUGGAUCGUUGAAAUUAGUUUCGUAGAAUGUGUAUCUCAUCAAAACGAUAGAUUCACUAACACUUAAGAGUUUAUUCAUACUUUCAAUAAGUAUAACAUAAGAUUUUGUGGUAUCCACUACUGUAAAUAUUUUUCGUUGAUAACCAUCGAAACGUUUUGUCCCGUUACUUGAUCUCUAAAUGUUUGUUUUUUGCAAUUUUGGCGUAUGCGAUCUUGAAGCAUAUACAAAUAAGUUUGACGAUUAGAUCAUUGAAAUUAGUUUCGUAGAAUGCGUAUCUCAUCAAAAUGAUAGAUUCACUAACACUUAGAGUUUAUUUAUACUUUCAUUAAGUAAAACAUAAGAUUUUGUGGCAUCCACUAGUGUAAAUAUUUUAAAUUGAAGAUCGAAUUCAUAUAGGGUCAAGGAGUGUAACUAUAAAAAAUCAUCAAAAUCAGAGUUAAAAUAACUGUUAAAUCUUGAUUUUUCAUUUAUAACAGUCAAAAAGUUUUGUCCCAUUACUUGAUAUAUGAAUGCUUGUUUUUUGCAAUUUUUGGCGUAUGCAAUCUCGAAAUAUAUACAAACAUGUUUGAUAGUUGAAACUAGUUUCAUAGAAUGCAUAUCCCAUCAAAACAAUAGAUUCACUAACACUUACGAGUUUAUUCAUACUUUCAUUAAGUAUAACAUAAGAUUUUGU